RNAcentral lists this ribosomal RNA (504 nucleotides) under Triticum aestivum (bread wheat). RNAcentral's name for it is "partial small subunit ribosomal RNA". Lineage: Eukaryota; Viridiplantae; Streptophyta; Magnoliopsida; Poales; Poaceae. The record is from RNAcentral.
AUGAAAUUGGAAUCUGUUCCCUGUUUAGGCAAGGGUGAUAAUAACUCGUACAAUCCAGAUUUUCUUCUUUUUAAUAGCUUAGUACAGAUUUUAAUUUUAGAACAUAACAGGACUAGUUUAUUGUUAGUGUUUUAUUAUAGAAAUUUGAGGGAGUUCAAGAUUGAUACAGUAUACUACUCCCUCCGUCCCGAAAAACAUGUCGCGAGGGUUAUUUUUCAAAAAAACCCUCAAGUUUCUCCUGACCAAACCCGCACUCCUCGUCAUCCUCCUCCGACAGUAUCCCCAGCUGUGCUGCUCCCCGCCGCCGUCGCUUCCCCGCUCCCCCGCCGCAGCUGCUCUGCUCCCCGCCGCGGCGGCUCCCCUGCUCCUCCACUCCCUCGCCGCAGCUGCCUCCUGCUCCGUCGCCGCUCGCUGCCUCCCCAAGCUCCCCCCUUCCUCACAAAAAUCUUCGAUUUCCGCCGCGCUGAUGAGCUCGACGACGAGGCGUCGCGGCUGGCGUUGUAG